RNAcentral lists this ribosomal RNA (964 nucleotides) under uncultured bacterium. RNAcentral's name for it is "bacterial SSU rRNA". It matches the Rfam family "Bacterial small subunit ribosomal RNA", at positions 8 to 1022 of the family's 1533-position model. The record is from RNAcentral.
AGAGUUUGAUCAUGGCUCAGAGCGAACGCUGGCGGCAGGCUUAACACAUGCAAGUCGAGCGGGCGUAGCAAUACGUCAGCGGCAGACGGGUGAGUAACGCGUGGGAACGUACCUUUUGGUUCGGAACAACACAGGGAAACUUGUGCUAAUACCGGAUAAGCCCUUACGGGGAAAGGUUUAUCGCCGAAAGAUCGGCCCGCGUCUGAUUAGCUAGUUGGUGAGGUAAUGGCUCACCAAGGCGACGAUCAGUAGCUGGUCUGAGAGGAUGAUCAGCCACAUUGGGACUGAGACACGGCCCAAACUCCUACGGGAGGCAGCAGUGGGGAAUAUUGGACAAUGGGCGCAAGCCUGAUCCAGCCAUGCCGCGUGAGUGAUGAAGGCCCUAGGGUUGUAAAGCUCUUUUGUGCGGGAAGAUAAUGACGGUACCGCAAGAAUAAGCCCCGGCUAACUUCGUGCCAGCAGCCGCGGUAAUACGAAGGGGGCUAGCGUUGCUCGGAAUCACUGGGCGUAAAGGGUGCGUAGGCGGGUCUUUAAGUCAGGGGUGAAAUCCUGGAGCUCAACUCCAGAACUGCCUUUGAUACUGAGGAUCUUGAGUUCGGGAGAGGUGAGUGGAACUGCGAGUGUAGAGGUGAAAUUCGUAGAUAUUCGCAAGAACACCAGUGGCGAAGGCGGCUCACUGGCCCGAUACUGACGCUGAGGCACGAAAGCGUGGGGAGCAAACAGGAUUAGAUACCCUGGUAGUCCACGCCGUAAACGAUGAAUGCCAGCCGUUAGUGGGUUUACUCACUAGUGGCGCAGCUAACGCUUUAAGCAUUCCGCCUGGGGAGUACGUCGCAAGAUUAAAACUCAAAGGAAUUGACGGGGCCCGCACAAGCGGUGGAGCAUGUGUUUAAUUCGACGCACGCGCAGACCUUACAGCCCUGACAUCCCGGUCGCGGACUCCAGAGACGGAGUUCUUCAGUUC